GGGCUCGUGUGAGGACCCCUCCGUAGCGUUUGGUGUGAGAGAAAUUAGACGAUGGACACGAACUCUGCAGCAGGCUGUGGCCGCUACGAGGCCUCAUCCGUGAUGAAGAGCCUCGCUUUCCCGGAUGCGGAAUAAUUUCAGGAAGCCAGGAGAACCUUCCUCCACCCCUGCAAUCCUGGGAGGCUUUGGAGAUGAGGAGACUGAAGCCUGGGGGGACGUCGCCGGGCACACGUGUCGUGACGGCAGAGCCAGGGCUGGCACGACCGGCACCCUGCCGCGACCUCGGUGGGGGACACGAGGCCCCGCCCAGGAGCUGACGUGGUCUGAAGCGCUUUGGGAGCUGCUUCUGUGGGCCUCACCUGAGCCGCCUCUGUUGCUGAGAGCUUUAAGUUUAGAGUCCAGAUGACUCAGGAGAGAUGUCCCAGCACCUGAUUGGCUGGGGGCAGGUCACAGGAUGGCAGCGGAGCGGAGAGGACAGGAGAGGGGAACCCACGAGCCGUGCCGUGACCUCCGUAGGUGAACGCACACCUGUGGAGGGGCCCGGGCGCUGGCCCAGCCCUGCCCCUGGCAGCCACACCAGUCCCGGAGGCGGCAGCAAGGCCGACACGCCGGGCCGGUGGAGCCGGCCCCACAGCCAUGGGGCCACCGUGAAGGUCCGAUCCCUGCCCUCCCGCAGCCCA
Long non-coding RNA from Eptesicus fuscus (big brown bat), 680 nucleotides. RefSeq lists it as uncharacterized. Lineage: Eukaryota; Metazoa; Chordata; Mammalia; Chiroptera; Vespertilionidae. The record is from RefSeq and is a predicted model, not a curated record. The transcript is spliced from 3 exons.